RNAcentral lists this signal recognition particle RNA (103 nucleotides) under Thermanaeromonas toyohensis ToBE. RNAcentral describes it as "SRP RNA RNA component of signal recognition particle". It matches the Rfam family "Bacterial small signal recognition particle RNA". From Rfam's summary of the family: The signal recognition particle (SRP) is a universally conserved ribonucleoprotein involved in the co-translational targeting of proteins to membranes. Archaeal SRP consists of a 7S RNA and homologues of the eukaryotic SRP19 and SRP54 proteins. Lineage: Bacteria; Bacillati; Bacillota; Clostridia; Neomoorellales; Neomoorellaceae. The record is from RNAcentral.
AGCCGGGUCCUGCGCGGCGAGAACUCAUGAACCCCGUCAGGUCCGGAAGGAAGCAGCGGUAAGUGAGCCAUCUCGGGUGCCGCAGGAGAGCCUGGCUGGAGUU